GGACUACCAGGGUUUCUAAUCCCAUUUGCUACCCUAGCUUUCGUCUCUCAGUGUUAGUAAUAGCCCAGUAAAGUGCCUUCGCCAUUGGUGUUCUUUCCAAUCUCUACGCAUUUCACCGCUCCACUGGAAAUUCCCUUUACCCCUACUAUACUCUAGUCAAACAGUUUCGACUGCGAUUUUGAGGUUGAGCCUCAAGAUUUAACAGUUGACUUAUUUAACCACCUACAGACGCUUUACGCCCAGUGAUUCCGGAUAACACUUGCAUCCCCCGUCUUACCGCGGCGGCUGGCACAG
This 294-nucleotide unclassified non-coding RNA is filed under the name uncultured fungus. Its description in RNAcentral is "sequence contains ITS1". The record is from RNAcentral. Lineage: Eukaryota; Fungi.